UGUGCCUCUCCUUGGAGAACUGUAACACAGAGUCAACCAUGAGCUCCCCUGCCCAGCCCACGCCAGGCCAUGCCAGCUGAGGUGACCGCCUGCUUCACUAAUCCGACCAGUUUUGCUAAAGCCUGCAUUCAGGUACUCACCCGGGAGUGUUUGAAGGAUGGAAUUCGCAUCAAGAUAUGCUGACACUGGCUGUCCAGGAUGCCCACAGGCUUUAGAUGGUGAUGUUUGACAUGAUCCGCUCCCAUCAUUAAUAUUGUACAGUUGUAUCUGAAGAUAGCUCGAGUGUGGAAUGCGGGUUGUCAACCCGGCCACACUUAUUUUUCAUUUAUUGUCUGUCUUGCCUCCCACUAGACUGUAAGUUUUAUGAAAACAGAAAUCAAUCUACUGUUUCCUCACUGCCCUUGAGCAAUGCCUGAAAACAUCAGGCAUUGGGUAUUUAGUAAACAAAUACCCAGGAUGAGAAAAGAUGAUGACUUUGCUUAGUAAUGGAGAUACUCCCUUUCUCCCUCAAGUUACGUGAAGCCCUGUUUUCACUGGGCAUGCUGCCAUUCAGCCAAAAGACCACAUUCCUCAAUCUCUGUCUCUUCCAGGGAGAUGUGGCCACAGGACUCGGUUCUGACCAAGGAGUUGAGAUGUGAUGGCUGGAGCCUCAACACGAUUCUGGACUCUGAGUGGGGAGCCAUAACUAGGAAUGGCUGGGUGGAAGGCCUGAUUGAGGCUGGGUCCCUGAUGACUGUGGGGCCAACACACCAGCCCUCGACUACCAGCUUCCAGAUCUCCUAGGUGAUCUAUCUUAGGUAAGCCUGGGAUUUAUGGGUGUUCCAGUCACUGGUGGCUGAACUAAGUCCUAACCCAUAUCGUGACCUGAUUGCCAUUUAGUCACCCUGAUAGGCAGUCUGCAGGCUGAGCCUAAAUCCCUUGAACUGCACCCUGGACCCACUUCUUGGUCUGAGCUCUGAAAAUGCAGAGAUCUGAAAACAUACAGCAGGUCUUGCAUAGUUCUUUGCUGAAAAUUUAUUUGCUUAUAUCCAAGAAGCUUUUUCCAUAUUUAUCUUUGCAUUUUCCCUCCUCCCUGAUGCCCUAACACUCAGCCACCUCUCCUUCUCCCUGGCUCCUUUCUCAGCCCUGCUCAUAACAGCAAGGGGGUUUUUCUUUAUAUGCAUCAAUCUUUUAUUCCAGGUUUUGAGAUAAUGCUGUUAUAAACUGGUUAUAAAAAAGAUAUAAAAUCAGCUAUCUUCCUAACGACUAAGAGAAGAACAGGAAAAUCCUAAAUUAUUGCACUCUCCCCCUGUAGACUCCAGAGAGGGAAUUAUAGGGUACUAUAGGAGGUAGGGCACUACAGGGAAGUACCGAGAGAGAGAAAUGAAGAUAUUAACGCUCUCAAAUAAUUUGGGAUGAAAGACCAGACUUCAAAAACUAUGCCCUUAAGCUCUUGCAUAAUUUAUGAAAAGUUUGAAGGUUACACAACUGCCUAGACUUGUAUUUUAAAAGGGAAAGAGGGAAAGGGAAAGGGAGAAAAGAGAGAGGGAGAGAGAGAGCGAGACCCAGAGUGAAGAAGCAAUUGCAAAAGGCUUUUCAUAUCUAGCCAGUAAGGACUGGUUCGAAUAUGCUGCAGAGCCAGGUUUGCUGCUGGGAGCCUCUGCCUCAGCAGAUGAUGUGGACAACGUCUCCCAGAUAACUUAAGAAAGCAAUUCAAAAGAAUCACCCCAUAUGGCCACCUCAUGAUUAAAUAGUGGUUAUUUUGGGAGUGGAUGCCUUCUAGAACUUUCACUACUGCUUUCAUCACAUAUAUUAAUGCAGUUAUUUUUCCCAGCUGUCUGUAUUUUAUGAGAACUAUGAUUUUGCCACCAUAGAUGGACUGUAAGCCCCAAGGUGAGAGGUGACCAUAUAACAAAUUGUAGCAAAAUGUAUCCAUCUGUAUUCCUGAGAACACCUUGAUUGAUAGCUGUGCUUCUUGGGGACCAGAAAUGAGAUUUCUCCUUCAUAGGACUGGUCAUGUGUGUCUGCAAUAUUUGGCAAAAUUCCUGUAGGCUUCCCACAUGCAACUGAAUUACUGGUAACAGUGUAUCCUUCCACUUUUCUGCUGCAUGUGGGAAGAAUUUGGAUUUUUCCCUGAAUGCAACCAUUUUGUUCAUGGCCUGGGCUAGUUUUUAGGACAUGGCUAUGAAGCAAACUCUUAACACUUUAGGGUAACACAACAGAGCCUCUGCCUUCAGCAAAGGUUUCAUCCCAUCUGUGUGGCUACUGGUAUCCUCUAAUUGAUCUAAGCUCUAAUUUAUUCUACGAAUGCCCUAAGAAUCCUCCUGCCCUUCCUUAGACUACCUUUCUAAGGGAAGGGCAGAAGAGGUAAGUACUGUAUUCAUUCACAUAAUAUUCACAUGCACUGUUAUAACUGCAUAGCCCAGAAUUAUGCAUAAGGAAGAGACAGAAUAAGGUGUCAGGCCAUAGGCAUUCCAAUUGUUUCCAAUCUUGGGAAAAUAAAGAAGACAAGCAUCAUUCAAAUCCGCCCCAGUUCCUACAGCCUUUUCUCCUAGCUCUUUUCCAACCCUACCACAUUUGUAGACAUCUUCUGAACUCAAUGUGCUUCAAAGACUGGCUGGACUCAGAUCAUCCUCAGUCCCUCUGUCAGCAAGGGACAGCAGCCAUUGUGGCACCCAAAAUGAGUAACACAGCUGUGCUCUCUUAGAAAGUUGACACUGAGUAUGAAUGCAGGACUCUGGCCCUCUGGACUGUCGUUCUUCAACUGCCAGGCAAAGAGAGCAAGCCUUGUGAAUAAUCACUCGCUUACAUAAAUACAAUAAACAUUAAUAAUGAUCACAUUAUCUGGUAAUACAACUUUCUCUCCAAGAUCAAAUUCUCUAACAUUUGCCCCUGAGUUUGAACCUCAUUCCUAGAAGGCAUCUGAUUCCUGGUUUUUUCAGCUUUUUGUCUUCGGGGGAAGAAGGUGGCAGGAGGGGAGGAGUUGGAGAGGCAAGGUUGGUUUUCACUGCCUCGGCACAGCAGCUGUGGGCUCAGCCGCCGGAGGAAGGGAUGCUGCUGGGCUUUGGAUCAAGAACAUUGUGCCCACAGGUCUUGCUAGGUUCAUUCCAGGGACCAAAUCCACCCACGACCAUGAUGAGACAAACAUGCAGGCAGGGCCCAUAUCUUCUGCUUCAAGAAAUUUAAGGGUAGUCCUUUUGGGGGAAUAGGGAGAGUGAGAAAACGUACUAUGUACAUAAAGAAUAGGCAUGCCUUCAGCAGGAAAGAAAGAGAAGAAGGGAGGGAGAGUAAGUAACUACUGUACAUGGCCCUAUUUGGAAAUGUUCAUGUUUGUCCCAGUCAUUAGCACUGGAGUCUCAGAUGAGAUGUAGGUAAACUGACAAACAGGGCAAAUGGAGGGGGUGGAUGAGGCCCUCUCUUCUCCAACCAAAUUGCAGUAUAGUUCAAAAACUAGUAAGUUACUAUAAUUGAUGCUUUUCAUGAAAAUCUGAGUCUAGUGACAACUUUCCUAUCCCCAGCAUUUUAGUAGACCUCAACUCAUAUCAAAAGCUGUUACAGCAAGGUGUUUAAGAUCCACCUCAAUCCACAGGCCACUGUGCCACGGACCUGCUAUGUGGCCUUGGGCAAGUGACAAUAACUGUAGAGCCUGAGGCUCUUCAUCUACAAAAUGGGCAGGAUAAUGCGUCAUGAGGUGUUAAUAAGGAUUAAAUGGGUCAGCACCUGGAAAGCAUCAAGAACAUCCCUGGCAUGCAGUCAGUACUGGUAUCAUUACAGAUUCAUAUCAGGAUGCUACUAAUCUGUUUCCAUAAAAUAAGCAGACUUCGUGUUCGGGGUCUGAUACAGGACGCUGAGGGAGGCCAGUGUUUGGGAGGGAAGCAGUGAAGGGAAGCAGCCUGGAGCUUGCCGAGUGCCUGGAGGCUGCCUGCUGCAGGUUUCUUCAAUACUCACUCACUGCUCGCCUGCCCCAGCACCUCUGCUCUGUUACAUGGAGGGGGCUCGUCCUAGCUUGCUGGGGCUGGCUCAGAGAAAUCAUAAAUAUCACUCUGAAUCUGGAAAGCACAUCUCGGCAGCCCCAUAUGGCCCCGGCAAGUCCAGUCUUGACAGGCUGGAAUAGCAGGGCCUGGGAGAUCAUUGGAAAACACGUCUGGAGGCACAGAGCCAGCUCAGCGGACGUGCUGGGAACCUUGAUUAACACAGAAACCCACAUUUCAGCAGCUCUCCAAGGAAGAAAAGCCAUUCUGGCAUGGGAGGAAUUGAGCUCAGGGUCUCCUGUGUGAGCAUCAGAGCCUGCAUUUCAAAUCAGGCACAACAAUGGGCUCUGGAUGCCCAGGAGAUUCCAGUUCUCAAGACGGGGGAAGGGUAGGGAUGCACUUGGAGGAUCUGUCAGAAAGCCCCAGAGGAGGCUGAGGACACUCAUUCACAUGUAAGAGACAGCAGAAUUUUUAAAAAGAUGGCAUCUACAUUAUAAUUAAUAAUUAUUUUACUUGAUCCCUGCCUGUAAGAAAGGUUUCCUAGUUCCCACAGGAUUUUAAAUUGUGCAAAUCACCAGGAAAGACUCCAUCCCCAGGCCUAGGAACUGAGGGUGAAAAGAGGUUGUUGCUGGCCAUGGCCAUCCAUCAUGACCAAACAGUUGCCCAGCAUCUGGCUGCCCACAGGGGAUGGAUGCCCUCCUCCCUGUCCUCAAGGAAGGCACAGUCUCCUUGGAAGACAGCACACAAAGAACAAUUUAACACAACCCAAGCUCUAGAAACACACUGCUUGUCCUGCCGUCUGCUCCCUGUCCCUCCCUGCAAUGCCGCCAAGGCAAGUUACUCCACCUCUUUGUCCUUUGGUUUUCCCCAUGGAAAAAUGAGAAAAGUCACUGUGGCCAGGAGUGAGUGUCCUGGAAACAGCUUCAUGGGGAUGGGAGGAGGACAGAGGUCUGGAGAACCAGGGUUGGACGGUGAGGAUCAGAUCUGGGACAUUUGAACUAAGGAAGACAAAAAGGGCUGGCCUUGGCCGGAAGGUUCUGGCUAGGGGGAAAGGGCUAAAGCAUGUGAAGACACAACAAUGAUAUGUUAUGUAUUUUAUAUAGAUCCAGCAACCCCACGGUUCUCCAGGAGAGCCCCAUCUUCACUCUGAGCAUGUGGUUCUGACCCCACCUUCCUGGUCAUUGCUGGUUGGCUUAGGAAGGGCCCCGUCCCAAGUUGGUCCAAUCAGAGUUCUUCCUGGGAUAUUUCUAGAUGGAACUGAGCAAAGAAGAUACUCUAUGCGUCUCCAGUGAAAACACCAUGAGACUUGAAGCAUGGAAGCUGCAUCACCCCUGUGUUUCCUGCCAGGUAGAACAAAGUGCUGAGAGAAUCAAACCAGAAAACAAAGAGAAGAGGAGCAAGAGAUGGAAAGUGACCCCUGGCAUGUACAUCCCUAAGCCCCAUCUGAUUACAUCAGCCAGAAGACUCUUCUUGUGACCUAGGCUAGUAUGAGUGGGAUCCCUGUCACUUGUGAUCAAAGCAGUCCUGAUCCAGAAAGGCAGGGACUGGCUGAGGGCAGCCCAACAUUGGUGGCUGAGGGUUUAGACCAUCACACUUCAGAAAGUCAGUCACUAAAACUUUUGCCUGGGAAGGCCACAGGUAUACAAAAAAGAUGCUUUUAGAGAGAUCAAUCUGGCUUCAGUGAGAGCAAUGGGCUGGAGGGGGCCAGGGCUGGAGGCAGAGGUCAGAGUCUUUUGAAAUGUACUGACAAUGACCAGAUCUCUAUCUCCAGCCCUUAGGGUUGGCGCCUGGUAGGGAUAUUUACUGGAAUCCGUGUUGGAGCUCAGAUGUCAAUAUGGAUAAAUUGAAUUCAUCCCCUUUGCAAAGCCUGAUCUCACCCUUUUCCCCAGUCACUGGCAUCUCUUCUGUCCUCAUUAUUACCCGAACUAGAACCCUCAAGAUCAGCUUCCAUUGGUUAAGAAAUUUCUGAUUCUGCCCAGGCACGGUGGCUCAUUCCUGUAAUCCCAGCACUUUGGGAGGCUGGGGGCAGGGGGGAGGGCGGAUCACGAGGUCAGGAGUUCAAGACUAGACUGGCCAACAUGGUGAAAUCCCAUCUAUAAUAAAAAAAUACAAAAAUUA
Callithrix jacchus (white-tufted-ear marmoset) is the source of this 6068-nucleotide non-coding RNA. The record is from RefSeq and is a predicted model, not a curated record. NCBI's taxonomy places the organism in Eukaryota, Metazoa, Chordata, Mammalia, Primates, Cebidae.